CAGUAGCCACGGUAAUACGUAGGUGGCAAGCGUUGUCCGGAAUUAUUGGGCGUAAAGGGCUCGCAGGCGGUUUCUUAAGUCUGGUGUGAAAGCCCCCGGCUCAACCGGGGAGGGUCAUUGGAAACUGGGAAACUUGAGUGCAGAAGAGGAGAGUGGAAUUCCACGUGUAGCGGUGAAAUGCGUAGAGAUGUGGAGGAACACCAGUGGCGAAGGCGACUCUCUGGUCUGUAACUGACGCUGAGGAGCGAAAGCGUGGGGAGCGAACGGGAUUAGAUACCCGCGUAGUCCCUGUCUCUUAUAC
This 301-nucleotide ribosomal RNA is filed under the name uncultured bacterium. RNAcentral's name for it is "partial 16S ribosomal RNA". It matches the Rfam family "Bacterial small subunit ribosomal RNA", at positions 509 to 807 of the family's 1533-position model. The record is from RNAcentral.